AAAGUGGUCGUCCGCCAUUGGGAGCGCCCGCGAGCCAUAGAGGGUACAUGGGGCGGCGGCCCGUUGUCCUUCCACCGUUGAGAGCGAGAGGUGUUCGCUGCUCUGUGAAACCAGCCUCACGCGGUUCCCUCCGCCUCAAGAGAUGCGCGACCCAAGCUUUCGCUCAAGGCGCACAUCCCGCUACCCCACUUGGAACGGGCGAGCCAACCUUACGCUCCAUUUGCACCCAGACUCACGAGCGUGACCCAGCGUCCUAUAAACCACUUUAAUACCCCCAAUUGGCUCGAGUAAUAAGCUCCCGCUACGAAGCUCGGUGAUCGGGUGCGCGAGACUUGCGUCACCUAAACCAACAUAUUAUUUUGUAGGCAGGCGAUGUGGGACUAAAUUGACCGGCUUCCUCAUGGCAGCCGUCGCAUUCCCUCCAUGUCGUAGGCCAGGGCAGCCUCCUGGGCAAUGUCGAAGGUCCCAAGCCCAUGCCUCUCUUUGGUCGGGGGGUCCCUUAUCUCAGCAGCAUAGCUCCCCCAAGGCCGCCGCCUCACAUCAAGGAACCUCCCUGGCUCUGCGGGCUUCCUCCUCCCUCUCCUCUCAGGACGGGAGCUGGCUGUGGGGUUGCUGGCGAUGAUGAUGACGAUGAGGAUGGCUUAGCCUGACAGAAUCCCACUGAGGGUGGGUUGUGGCCUUGAGCUUUUGGUGCUGCGGUGUCUAAGGUUUUUGAGGAGGACAUUGAUUGGAAACGUGAGUAGAAGAAGAGAUAGGGAGCUGGAGAAAGGCAGAGGUGGCUACGAGUGAGGUCGUUUGGGUUUGGAGGGGGGUGGGGAGGUGAAAAGAGGUCCAGGGGAUUUAAAUUGGGUGCUGCUGGAUGUGGUAGGAGGGAAGAGGACAUUGUAGAUGGGAUAGAAGAUGCAAUGGAUUCAUGACCAGCUUCGCCAAUUAAUAAUACUUUUACAUUGUGAACAAGCUCCUGUUUCAUUGACGCAUGAUCUUUUUCUAACUCAGUCAGCCUCAUCCUUGUUCUUGCGACCUCAAGCUUCAGUUCCUUGUUCUCUCUCUUCACUGAUGCAAAACUGUCCAUUGGGGAGAUGGUACCACUCCCCACCCCACUGCCCGUUCUUUGACGGUGUCGACCAUUUACCGAACCAAAGAACUGAUCAUGGCUUCUGUUCAUGGCAUCUCGAAGCCUGAUCUCCUCCUUUUGCGCAGGGAAGCUUUCAUUUUGAGCUUGCAUAGGCCGUGGUGUUUUGAUUCCUUCAUGUUGGGAUGAACCUGAAAGUUGGGUCAUAAUCAAAUAAAUUCGUCAAUGUGGUCAGCUGGUUAUUAGAGCAUAACGACCAGCCUUUUUUCAUUUCUUUGGGCAAGAUCUUAUCCUGAGUUGCAUCCUUCGCUAAUGCAAAUUAGUUUUUUUCUUUCUAAUGGUUAAUCUGGAUGGAAGUUUCCAACCUGCAAGCCUUAUCCCACCGAUACUGCAUCGAAACUUUUCAUGAAAUUUAAGUGGUAAAAGGUUUGCAUGAAAGCACAUGGAAUAUUUGCAACAAGUCAUUAAGAAUUCUAGCUGUCGGAAUAGAGGAGAUUAGCCCUAUUAUCAAAUCAAGGAUUUCUAGGAAGCUCAAAACUUUGUGAGGUUUGUGGUUUGUAGAAUUAGAACAUCAGAGAUUAGGAACAUAAGUUUUGUUGUGUCCACCUGUAGAUAGAUCCAGUUCUGAUAUAUUCUGAUGAAAUUUAGUAACAGCUGAACAAAACAAUAAAAACACUGAAACUAAGCUCAUAUUCUUGUGGGUAACAAGAAGACCUCGAGUGUGAUUAAGCUCGUUCUGAAGGACUUUCAGAACUGUUAUCAUAGGAAUAAGAUGUCUGAUUGGCAGACUAUGAUUGUGGUGCCCUAGAAUUAGUUCUGAUAUGGAGCAGGAAUUGUACAAUUAGACCCUUAAGCUACACUGGUUAAAUAGCAUCAAUCAAUGCUAUGUAGCUAACAUAACAUGAUGGAAGACAUCCGAUGGUUAAUCAGAGGACUGUGAUGGGUUGGUGGGAGGUAGUGGCUUUGGUCUUUGACAGGUGAGACAGGAGCAGGAAAUGGUCACCAUUGUUGCAAUUGGUGUGACCAACUGAAGUUGAUGUUGCAGGAGGGAGCGGGCACAGAGUGCAGAAUAGGGGGGUGGGUGGGUGGGUGUGCUGAUUUCCCUCGGGACAAGGUGCGAAGGAGGUGCUCGGAAUCACUGGGAUAGGAAAGCCUGCUAUCCUUCAUCAUGGUGGACCAAAAAGAAGCAUCACGAUGGUUGUAGCCUCAUAAUUUGUUGACAUUUAUGUAUUACUUGAUGACGAUAAUAUGCAACUAUGUUUUUGUUGAAUUGGAAAUUGGACGUCAUGCUAGCAAAUGACACAUUAAAUAUACAGACUGUUGAUUGCCCACGUCUGCAAAUAAGUAGGGCUGAAACUAGGCCGGACCCAGACGGCUUAUCUUUUGGGUCAUGAUUUUGGACCCACGCUUAACUCAUUGGCUGACUAGAUUGGGCGAGCUUUGGUCCGGCCAAUGAAAACUGUUUAAUCCAAAGGCUCAUCCGACCGUGCCAGAAUUAAGCACGGCAUUGACCCAAACCAAAAUGUCUUAAGUCUGGCUUGAAACUAUCCUAAAUGAAUCUUGCAACUCGGUAAGCAAAUUUUUUAUACCUAAGGAUAUAAUAAUUGAUAGUCAAAUAUGAAAUUCACUAAAUGUUAGAAUAGAAAAUUUUUUUGUUUUUGGUGAAAUAGUUAUCCCACGAGUGGCUGCCAUUUUUUGCUUGGCUAUAUUUUUUGAAAUUAUUUUAAAUUUAAUAUAUAUUAUCUUGCAGAGAAAAUAGAAAUAGCAGCAUGAAGGGUAUAUUUUAUAUAUACCUGACCAUGAUUUAUAUCUUCUUUAAUUAAACAGACCGUCUCGUCAAAUGCAUAUUAUUUUUGAGGUAUAUGAAGCCUAAUUAUUUUUUUUUCUCCUUUCCGAGGGCUUAGAAGUAAAAGGCACGUAAAAAGCAAAAAGAAAAAAAAAAUCAAAAAAAAGUGGUUGUUCGCUAUUGGUGCGGGCCGUAGAGGGUACGUGGGGCGGUGGCCCGUUGUCCUUCCACCGUUAAGAGCGGGAGGUGUUCGCUGCUCUGUGAAACCAGCCUCACGCGGUUUCCUCCGCUUCAAGAGAUGCGCGACCCAAGCUUUCGCUCAAGGCGCACCAUCCCGCUACCCCACUUGGAACGGGCGAGCCAACCAAACGCUCUACUUGCACCCAGACUCACAAGCGUGACCCAGCGUUCUAAACCACUUUAAUACCCCCGACUGGCUCGAGUCACAAGCUCCCGCAACGAAGCUCGGUGG
Molecule: long non-coding RNA, 3330 nt
Filed under: Phoenix dactylifera (date palm)
Lineage: Eukaryota; Viridiplantae; Streptophyta; Magnoliopsida; Arecales; Arecaceae
Description: long non-coding RNA (PDAC_LNC002792)
Source: RNAcentral